UUUUAAUUGCUGUCCUCCCACAGGUACGUGCCCUAGUCAUUCUGAAUUCCAUCUAUCUAGGGAAAAGGGUGCUAUUUUCGAUCAUAUUGAAUACCAAUACUUCUGAUAUGUUUUUCCAAAUUUAUUGUCAGCUUCUUAGACUUGCUCAAUAUUUGAAAUGAAAGUGGACUGAAAUUAGACUAGUCCUGUGUAUUUGUUUCGUUUAAUAGUAAACUCAAUUCAACUAAGUUUUUAUCCCAAAAA
RNAcentral lists this unclassified non-coding RNA (243 nucleotides) under Hevea brasiliensis (rubber tree). The record is from RNAcentral. Lineage: Eukaryota; Viridiplantae; Streptophyta; Magnoliopsida; Malpighiales; Euphorbiaceae.